AUUUCUAUGGUGUAAAUUAACACUUAAUAUUUUCAUUAUUAAAAUGGGUAUUCCCUAGAAAUA
RNAcentral lists this transfer RNA (63 nucleotides) under Carcinoscorpius rotundicauda (Southeast Asian horseshoe crab). Its description in RNAcentral is "tRNA-Glu". Lineage: Eukaryota; Metazoa; Arthropoda; Merostomata; Xiphosura; Limulidae. The record is from RNAcentral.